Hyaena hyaena (striped hyena) is the source of this 104-nucleotide small nuclear RNA. The record is from RefSeq and is a predicted model, not a curated record. Lineage: Eukaryota; Metazoa; Chordata; Mammalia; Carnivora; Hyaenidae.
GCUCGCUUCAGCGGUACAUAUAUUAAAACUGGAACGAUAUAGAGAAGUUAAUGUGACCCCUGUGCAAGGAGGACACGUAAAUUCAUGAAGUGUUCCAUAUUUUU